This is a long non-coding RNA of Anolis carolinensis (green anole), 2826 nucleotides long. Lineage: Eukaryota; Metazoa; Chordata; Lepidosauria; Squamata; Anolidae. The record is from Ensembl.
GGGAGGCGGGGAGGGGGCUCUUCGGGAGGAACAGCCUCGUGGGGGUCCUUCCCGCAGUGCUGCUCCUUUAAGGCCAAGCCCCGCCUCUCUUUGGUUCCAGGGUGACGUCACGGCAAGGCCAGCCCCGCCCCGAUCCCUUGGAAACAGGCAGGCAGAGGGGAGGGGGGCCUCCGCGGGCGGAAGUGAGGGGGCGCUUCCGGUUGGGCCCAGCCGAGGGAGAGGCGCCAACUCUUCGCGUGUUCCUCGGGAGCCUCGCGCGGACUCAGAACCCGGACCCUUCCCCCGGCAGAGAAGGCUGUCCUGCGGAAGGAGGGAGGCUGCAGGGUGGGAGUGGCAGAAGAGGCUCCAGGCUGAAGUGGAAAAGAACCUGCAGGUGCAGAAAGGUGAGGCGGACUUGGGAGUUGAAAAAGCCAUCCUCAGCUUAUACUUGGGUGCUUUCCUGCCAGGACCCUCACCUCUCCGCACAGCAACCCAGCUCUCCUUCCUCUUCUGCUCUCUUGUGCAGUGCUCACCUUCCUCUCUUCCUUUCUCGACGCAGUGCACACCUUCCUCUCCUCUUUCAACGCAGUGUGCACCUUCCUCUCCUCUCUCGACGCGGUGCGCACCUUCCUUUCCUCCUCUCUCGACGUGGUGCGUACCUUCCUUUCCUCCUCUCAACGCAGUGCGCACCUCUCUCCUCUCUCGGUGCAGUGUGUACCUUCCUCUCCUCCUUUCUCGAUGCAGUGUGCACCUUCCUCUCCUCUCUCGACGCAGUGCGCACCUUCCUCCUCUCUCGAUGCAGUGCGCACCUUCCUCUCCUCUCUCGGUGCAGUGUGUACCUUCCUCUCCUCCUUUCUCGACACAGUGUGCACCUUCCUCUCCUCUCUCGACGCAGUGCACACCUUCCUCUCCUCUCUUGACGCAGUGCGCACCUUCCUCUCCUCUCUCGGUGCAGUGUGUACCUUCCUCUCCUCCUUUCUCGACGCAGUGCGCACCUUUCUCUCCUCUCUUGACACAGUGUGCACCUUCCUCUCCUCUCUCGACGCAGUGUGCACCUUCCUCUCCUCUCUCGACGCAGUGUGCACCUUCCUCUCCUCUCUUGACGCAGUGCGCACCUUCCUCUCCUCUCUCGGUGCAGUGUGUAACUUCCUCUCCUCCUUUCUCGAUGCAGUGCGCACCUUUCUCUCCUCUCUUGACACAGUGUGCACCUUCCUCUCCUCUCUCGACGCAGUGUGCACCUUCCUCUCCUCUCUCGACGCAGUGUGCACCUUCCUCUCCUCUCUCGACGCAGUGUGCACCUUCCUCUCCUCUCUCGACGCAGUGUGCACCUUCCUCUCCUCUCUCGAUGCAGUGCGCACCUUCCUUUCCUCCUCUUGACACAGUACGUACAUUCCUCUCCUCUCUUGGUGCAGUGUGUACCUUCCUCUCCUCCUCUCUCAACGCAGUGUGCACCUUCCUUUCCUCCUCUUGACGCAGUACGUACAUUCCUCUCCUCCUCGGUGCUCGUCUUUUCCACUUUUCCUUAUUCCUUUACACACAGCAUAUCCCCCAAAAUGUAUACUGAAAAUAAGCUAUGGUGAUUAUUGGAAGCAAAUUUACAUUGAAGGAGGUUAGAAUAAUGAUUUAAUCAGAGUUGGGCAGCCUUAAAUCUUAAAUUCCAGUUGUAUGUAAAUAUUUAAAAACAUUUAACCUACUGAUGCCUCAAUAAUAUAAUUUUAUUGCUAUCUACCCCACCUUUCUCUACCCAGAAGGGGACUCAUUGUUAAGAUACGACAUGAAGACAAAAUAUUAAUUAAUUAUAUCAGUAUUCAACAGGCUUUUAAACAUUAUUAGUUUUUUUUCGUGUCAGGAGCGACUUGAGAAACUGCAAGUCACUUCUGGAGUGAGAGAAUUGGCCGUCUGCAAGGACGUUGCCCAGGGGACGCCCGGAUGUUUUGAUGUUUUUACCAUCCUUGUGGGAGGCUUCUCUCAUGUCCCCGCAUGGAGCUGGAGCUGAUAGAGGGAGCUCAUCCACGCUCUCCCCGGGUGGGAUUCGAACCUGGCAGCUUUCAGAUCAGCAGCCCAACCUUCAAGUCACAAGGCUUUAACCCACUACUCCACCGGGGGCUCAUUAUUACAGUAAUUUAUUUCUUAUUACAGUAAUUUAUUUCUAUCAUUUCUAGAGAUAUGUGUUCAGCCUUAUAUAAAUUAAAUAAAUCAUUAUUACAGUAAUUUAUAUAAGGCCGAACACAUAUCUCUAGAAAACAUUGAGAAUUAUUUAAUUCAGCGAAAGAUGCCAAAAAUAAAUGAAACACAAAAAGAAAUGUCCACAGUUCACAGUCUGUUAUACCUGCAGCUUUGCUGCAUUGCUGGAGUUCAAUCAGUAGGGUUUUAUUUUAUUUGAUGCAGAGAAUCUUUGGGCACUGUCCCCUUUGUACCUAAGGAGGGAUUGUUCAUUGUUGGGCAAGUGUUAAAAUGUUUGUCACCAGGCAUUGGGCACCUUCCCUCUUCCCCUGGGUUUGUUAUAGCAUGAGUCUUGUGCUUCAUGUUUCAUGAGAUCUUUCUCUGUUCAACUCCUGAAGAGAUUUCCUCUCUUUCUCUGGCAGGUAACUUCUGAACAAGUUCUGCGAAGAUCACCUUGUGAGAGCUUUGCCCGAGGAGUGCUGUAAGUCUAAAGUAACUUCAAGAUACAAAGCAAUGACAAGAAGAAAAAAUAAGUAGUAGAAAAAUAUAUUUCAAGCUGUGUAAUUAAGGGGGGAAAUAAGAUUGUGCUGAAGAAAGAGACGCUUGCUGAAAGUGAGCAGAAGGUAAAGUAAUACAAAGACUGCUGUUCGGGAGGUUAUAUCUGUGAACCCCUGGCAUGAUAUU